Molecule: RNase P RNA, 407 nt
Filed under: Sphingomonas lenta
Lineage: Bacteria; Pseudomonadati; Pseudomonadota; Alphaproteobacteria; Sphingomonadales; Sphingomonadaceae
Description: Bacterial RNase P class A
Rfam family: Bacterial RNase P class A
About the family: Ribonuclease P (RNase P) is a ubiquitous endoribonuclease, found in archaea, bacteria and eukarya as well as chloroplasts and mitochondria. Its best characterised activity is the generation of mature 5'-ends of tRNAs by cleaving the 5'-leader elements of precursor-tRNAs. Cellular RNase Ps are ribonucleoproteins.
Source: Rfam by way of RNAcentral
CCAGAGGGUCGGGCGACCGCGUCACACGAGUUGUGCCGAGGAAAGUCCGGGCUCCGCGGAACGACGGUGCCGGGUAACGCCCGGCGGGGGUGACCCCAGGGAAAGUGCCACAGAAAACAAACCGCCCAGGCUUCGGCCGGGCAAGGUCGAAACGGUGCGGUAAGAGCGCACCGCGCUUCCGGUAACGGCGGCGGCACGGCAAACCCCACCGGGAGCAACACCGAAUAGGGGCGGCAUAUGGGCGUGUUCCCGCCCGUCGCCCGGGUUGGUGGCUAGAAGCGGCGCGCGAGCGUCGCCCGAGAGGAAUGGUCGCCCAUCCCUCCUUCGCCACGGCUUCGCAGGGCCAGCCCUGCAAGGCUCAAGCGGAGCGGGGAGGACAGAACCCGGCUUACAGACCCUCUGGCCUU